RNAcentral lists this ribosomal RNA (292 nucleotides) under uncultured bacterium. RNAcentral describes it as "partial 16S ribosomal RNA". It matches the Rfam family "Bacterial small subunit ribosomal RNA", at positions 505 to 796 of the family's 1533-position model. The record is from RNAcentral.
GUGUCAGCAGCCGCGGUAAUACGUAGGGACCGAGCGUUGUCCGGAUUUAUUGGGCGUAAAGAGCUCGUAGGCGGCUGUCCAAGUCGGGUGUGAAAACUCGGGGCUCAACUCCGAGCCUGCAUUCGAUACUGGACGGCUAGAGUCUGGUAGGGGGAUCUGGAACUCCUGGUGUAGCGGUGGAAUGCGCAGAUAUCAGGAAGAACACCGGUGGCGAAGGCGGGAUCCUGGGCCAGUACUGACGCUGAGGAGCGAAAGCGUGGGGAGCAAACAGGAUUAGAAACCCGCGUAGUCC